This 71-nucleotide transfer RNA is filed under the name Phrynosoma platyrhinos (Desert horned lizard). Its description in RNAcentral is "tRNA-OTHER". The record is from RNAcentral. Lineage: Eukaryota; Metazoa; Chordata; Lepidosauria; Squamata; Phrynosomatidae.
GCCAGCAUGGUGUAGUGGUUUGAGUGUUGGACUAUGACUCUGGAGACCAAGGUUCAAAUCCUGACUCGGCU